This 988-nucleotide long non-coding RNA is filed under the name Pan troglodytes (chimpanzee). RNAcentral's name for it is "lincRNA". The record is from RNAcentral. Lineage: Eukaryota; Metazoa; Chordata; Mammalia; Primates; Hominidae.
UUGAACUUCCCAGACUCCAGAACUACUCCUGCCCCUGCCACGAGAACACACCCUUUCCAGUUUGCUGGAGAAAUAUAAGAGAAGUCCAGUGAAAGAGAGCUGAGUUUCCCCAAUGAUGCCAUCAAGAUGAACUAACUACAGUUAACCAGCCAGCUGAUAGCAGAUGCAUGAGUGAGCCCAGCUGAGAGCAGGUUGUGCAAGCAUGGCACGUGCAUCUGUUUGGCUUCUGGUGAGGCCUCAGGAAGCUUACAGUCAUGGUGGAAGGCAAAGAGGGAGCCAGUAUAUCACGUGAACUCGUAGAGUGAGAACUCAUUCACUACCAUGAAGACAACACCAAGCCAUUCCUGAGUGCCUACAAUAGUUCCUGGUAUGUAGAAGGUAUACAAUAAAUAUUGGCGGAGUGAAGGAACAAAUGGGAUUUGCUUGAUUCUGCUGCAGAAGACUAAGGAAAAGACAUAAAUGAAUAAAUAACUAGUAGAAUGUUAACACAAUCAGAAAAAGGACCAUUUCUUUUCAUUUGGAUGUCUCAAAUCUAUUUGUUGUUGUUGUUGUUGUUUUUCUGGCUGGGCUUGAAAUGUAGGCAUGCAGCCAGGAGGCUCCAUGCUGACUAAUGAGAUAGAGAUACCCAUUUAGCCCAGCAAUAUUCAUACAUUGUUUAUGCAUUCAUUUUUCUCUAGUGACUUUUUAAUAUAUUUUGGUGAAGAUAUUCCAAAGAUAAUGAAGAUAUGUUGAGUGGGCAUUAAAAGUGAUGAGUCUUUUUUUCCAUUAUCAAAGACAAAUACAGGUGUGUAAUGUAUGCAGAGAAUUAGAAGUAGGGAAAAAAAUGAGGGAAUCCAAAAUAAUGAAAAGUAAUUAAAGCUCUCCAAUAAUUGAAAGAAAGGCCAAACUGAAAACAUAAAUCUCCAGACUCUGCAAGGAUUUAUACUGAUGUGGGGCGUGUGGACCAAUGGCUUUCAGGAUGUGAUUCAUUUUGAAAAAAGUGUCAUUU